AUCACUUGAGCCCAGGAGUCCAAGACGAAUCUGGGCAACAUGGCGAAGCCCCAUCUGUACCAAAAAUACUACAAUUAGCUAAGUGUGGUGGCUCAUGCCUGUAAUCCCAGCACUUUGGGAGGCUGAGGUGGGAGAAUUGCUUGAGGUCAGGAGUUUGAGAUGAGGCUGGGCAACAUGAUGAAACCCCGUCUCUACCAAAAAUACAAAAAUUAGCUGGGCAUGGUGGCACACCCCCUGUAGUCCUGGUUACUUGGGAGGCUCAGGUGGAUGAUUGCUGUGCCCAGGAGUUCAAGGCUAUAGUGAGCUGUGAUCGUGCCACUAAACUCCAGCCUGGGUGACAGAGUAAGAUCUUAUCUCUAACAAAAAUAAGUAAAUAAAUAAAAGUCAGGGGAAGGAGUGGGAAACCUGGUCCUAACUUCUCCCUCUGCAAAAAGAGAGGAUUGAUUCAUUCCUCCAACAAAUAUUCAUUGGAUAAUAGAUCUAUUCUGUGCUACGGCACCUUUAUUCUUCCAUGCUAGAGAUUCAGGAGACCAUAAGAAAGAAAGGAUCUCAGGCUGA
RNAcentral lists this long non-coding RNA (558 nucleotides) under Pan troglodytes (chimpanzee). Its description in RNAcentral is "long non-coding RNA NONPTRT014309". The record is from RNAcentral. Lineage: Eukaryota; Metazoa; Chordata; Mammalia; Primates; Hominidae.